This is a non-coding RNA of Callithrix jacchus (white-tufted-ear marmoset), 6361 nucleotides long. NCBI's taxonomy places the organism in Eukaryota, Metazoa, Chordata, Mammalia, Primates, Cebidae. The record is from RefSeq and is a predicted model, not a curated record.
GAGGCGCGGACCAAUGAGCGGCUGCGGCGGCGGCCUGGGGGCGGGGUCUAGGGCGGGCGGAGCGGGGUUGGGCCGCGGCGGCAGGGCCGUCUCAGGCUGCCGUCCCGCCCCUCCUGUCCGGCCGCCGCCGUCGCCGCCGCCACCGCAGCCACUGCCACCGCCUGGGGGUUGGUUGAGGCGGACGGUGGUGUCCGGGCUGGAGUGCGUCGUUCCCGCUGCGCUAGGGGAAGCGGGCAGUCAGAAAAUGGGUAAGAAGAGUCGAGUAAAAACUCAGAAAUCCGGCACUGGUGCUACAGCAACUGUGUCACCGAAGGAAAUCUUGAACCUGACCAGUGAACUGUUGCAGAAAUGCAGCAGUCCUGCGCCUGGCCCAGGAAAGGAGUGGGAAGAGUAUGUGCAGAUCCGGACUCUAGUUGAGAAAAUACGGAAAAAGCAAAAAGGUCUGUCCGUUACUUUUGAUGGAAAAAGAGAAGAUUACUUUCCUGAUCUAAUGAAAUGGGCCUCUGAAAAUGGGGCUUCUGUCGAGGGUUUUGAAAUGGUUAACUUCAAAGAAGAGGGCUUUGGUUUGAGAGCAACAAGAGAUAUCAAGGCAGAAGAAUUGUUCUUAUGGGUUCCACGGAAAUUACUAAUGACUGUUGAAUCUGCUAAAAAUUCAGUGUUGGGGCCUUUAUAUUCUCAAGACCGAAUCCUUCAAGCCAUGGGAAACAUCGCACUGGCCUUUCAUUUGCUGUGUGAGCGAGCCAGCCCUAACUCCUUCUGGCAGCCCUACAUUCAGACUCUCCCCAGUGAAUAUGACACUCCUCUCUACUUUGAAGAGGAAGAAGUUCGGUAUCUUCAGUCCACACAAGCUGUACAUGAUGUCUUCAGCCAGUAUAAAAACACAGCUCGACAGUAUGCCUACUUCUAUAAAGUCAUCCAGACCCAUCCUCAUGCCAACAAACUGCCCUUGAAGGAUUCUUUCACUUAUGAGGACUACAGGUGGGCAGUCUCUUCUGUUAUGACGAGGCAAAACCAAAUUCCCACCGAGGACGGUUCGCGGGUGACUCUGGCUCUGAUUCCUUUAUGGGACAUGUGUAACCACACCAACGGCCUGGUAACAAUCUCUUCCCCUGUGUUGUGUUGCAUCUGGGAGGCUGUUUUUGCUAAGCUUUUGAGGGGGUAUUCCACCCACCCAUCACACUCUCCCCUGCUGCCGUCCUCCUGAAGGAACAAACAAACCAAACCGGCCACUCCUCCCCACUGCCCACAAAUAGAAGCUGCAUUAACUAAUACCGAAAACUGGGAGCUUGAAUCUUACACCAUUUUUAAAAGCCACCGUGAACUACAUGUAUUUGCUAAGCCAUAAUUUCAGCCUAAACAUUCAUUUUCUUACAGUACCACAGACUAAACCAGAAUUUUUUUUAUCUUAUUCUCUUUAAAAUGCUCAGUUAUUGGGAAAAAAUUCUAUUUCUCAUUUUCCCUUUUGUGUCCUAUUUUCUUUGCUGACUCUCUGUUUCCAGUUCUGUACUUUCGAGUCUUUGUGGUUCCUUCCCUGAUGGGCUGGCGAAUCCCUGGCCAUAUUUAUGAACCUGUGUUUGUUACUCGCUUUCCCUGGUGCUGCGGGGCGGGAGGAGGGGCUGUUGCCUUCGGCUCCUCGCCCUUGGAUGCAGGAGUCAGCUGGCAUCAUCACACCUGGGAAGCCUGGGGAGGAGGAAAUUGUAUUAUUAUGGUCUCCCACAGCUGGAAGUGGAGGUGGCAGGCUCUGUUUCUCCACAUUCUUCGGAUUCCAGGCAGCAGCGUAGGUGCAGCACUCCGUGCUCUGGAGAGGGUUGUGUGAGAAAGAUUUUUCGAUAUUGGUAGGCAGAAAUAUGACACAUUUCAGAUCAUUUUGAAAUAUCAUACAUUAUGCUAGUAUACUGGUUUGAUUAGGUUUGGUGUUCAUCUUUUCUCAGUGUCAGCUUCCCUUGUUAUUAGCAGUAUUAGAAGUAGAAUAAAGAAAUGCCAUAAAUAAUUAUUUCAUGUUGAAUUCCCCAAAAUGUCCAGAACACACGUAGUGUGUGCCAGACACUGAAGACAGAAUAUCAGAGUGCUAAUUUGGGAAGGUCUAGCAACAAGUAUGCUCUUGAAUCUUAAAAGUAUUUAAAUUGUGGCAAGAAAAAAUAGUUACAUUUUUAUAAUUACAUUUUAGCCUUAAUUUAGAUAUGCUUAAUUUGUAAUACUGAGACAUGGUAGCAUGUUUUAUAAUUUAUUUUCAUUAAUGAAUAUAAUUUUUCAUUUUUUUCUUCAGAGGUAUUUUAAACUGAUCAUAAGGUUGAAAUUUUUAAAAUUUUCAAAUAGCUUUUAAUAUCCGACUGUAGUAUUUUUCUUUUUCUUUUUUUGAAUUAGUUAUCAAACUCUCAUUGGUUCUCAAACUUAAUUGAUUAUUAGAGUUCUUUUUAAUAAAAUUAAAGCAUUAAUGCUUUGUUUUACUCUAAACAAAUAAAAAGAAUUAACACAGCCUCUGUAGUAAGGAUGAGCAGUGCCCUACCCCCAGCUCCCAUGGUCCACCUGAUGCCGCUGAGGCCACCACCAGCCACCGUGAUCCCUAGCGAAGCUUUCAUCCAUUGGCACCGCACACACAUAGGCACACUGAUUUUUGUUUUGCUUCCAUAUAAAUGGGAUAAAACAAUUCCUUCUCUCCUACCAAAUGUUAAAAAAAAAAAAAGGUUAGUUUAUCUCAAAAUAAAAGUAAUCAAUUGAUGAUAACCAAUGCUAUAUUUUCCCUAAUACUACUUACAUACUUUUUAACCUACCACAGCCUGGCAGAAACAUUGCUAACCUGUAGAACGUUUAUUCGAGAUGCUGGUACUUUGUCUUCUAGUGGUUAUAUUCCUGACAUUCUUCACUCUGCACUCUUGUUGAACUGUUUCCCAUUGUAAUUAUAAGACUUCAUGGGAAAUUUACUGGGGUAGAAUUUCAGACAUUCUAUUUUAACACUACAAAGUUGUAUAUGAUACGUAUUAUAGUUAAUGUCUUUUUAAAAAUAAAGUCUUGAUAUCAAGGCUUGGCUUUUAAGACAAGAGAUUUUCUUUUUUUUGUGUGAGUCGAUCCUGGCGAUCAUCUUCUUCUUGUCAGUCUACCCUGACUAUCACUCAGGGAGUAGGUAGAAUUUGUAACCCAGCAACGCUGUCUGCUUCUAACAAUAUCCCGAAAACCUGAUGAUCGUAGUAGGAACAGAAGAAUCAAGUCUGUAACAGCAGCUCCAAACCAGUGACAGCAAGGAGAUGCUGAUGAACACCUAGGCUAGAGAUUCUGGUGAAUAUGAACUAAUUUCCUAGCCACUCAGAGAAAUAAAUGUAGAAAGGGUUAUAAGGUGUGAUACUAAGAUAUAAGAAACACAUAUCUUUAUAUCUUGCAUGAUUUGUUCAAACUUGACAUAAGCAGCAGGUUUCCUUUCUUGAGGGUUUUUCAGGUGUUAGGAGGAUACUUGUAAGUGCCUGAUAGACAGCUGUGUUAGUUCCCAUACUGAGAGUUGUACUGCGAGUAUGCUAGAAAAAUGGUGCUUGCGUUUGAAUAUGCGACUCUACCGGUUGCGAUGAAAGGGCAGCUGGAAAUUCAAGCAGAAUGGAGGGAAGUUCUUUUUCAAGGUCCUACUGUUUGUGUAUUGAAAAAUAUCUAAAACCUUUAGAUUUAGAUGAGUCUUACAGUCUCAAAAGCCACUUUUUAUAAUAGCAGACAAGUCUCUCUGCACAACCUGUCCCCCCACACUCUCUGUGCACACAGCUCUGACUCACCUCUGGUUUCCUGCUGUUCUUCAGACACCAGCAGAUUCCUUCAUUCUUGCUGUUGCCUCUGCCUGAGACCCCCCAUUCCUUAGACACUUAAGGGGACUGGCUCUGACUCAUAGACCUCCUCCAGUGAGGCUGCCCUGAGCACCCUGUGUAGAAUGGCCACACCUCCAGCCCUCUGCCCUCCUGCUCUGUCCUGCUGCAUUUCCCUCUGGUGUCCAGAUCCUCUCUUUCCACCUUUUAAAAAACAUAAUGUUGGUUCACUCCCCGCCCCGCCCCCCCCAUUAGAAUGGAAGAUCCAUGAAGGCAGGGUGAUUUUUAGGGGGUCUGUUUUGUUCAUUGCUAUAUCCCAGUGCCUGGUAUUCUUUUUAAAUGAAUUCAUGAGUGGUGAAUAAAUGAAUGUAAAAACCCCACACAUAGGAAAAAAGAUCAGAAAGAGAUAAACCAAAAUGUUAACGAUGGUGAUCUUUUUUUUUUGUUUUUAAAAAAUAUUUUCCAAAUUUUACUUAAUGAGUCUGUAUUACUUUAUCCCUCCCACCGGCCAUGAAAUCAACAUGAUACCUAUUUGUUGAAGAAAAUUUGAAAAACACAGAAAAGAAAAUUUUCCCCUCCCUGCUGGGCUCCUCCUCCAGCAUUGCCAACAAACUCCGUCCCCUGGGCACACUUGAGGCUCCACGUGCCUUUUAUAAUUUUUUUUUCUUCCUGGGUCUCUGCCACUAGAGGUCCCUAUGGGUGGGGACUGAGACUUUUCAUGCCAUUUUCCAAGUGCCUAGCUUAAGGCCUGGCAUAGAAUGGCAGUCAGUAUUUGUAGAAAGGAUGUUAGUUGGCAGGGUGGGAGGCAAAGAGCUGGGCAAGGAGAAGAUGGAAGGGCCCUGUCCUAGCUUGACAUCUGGAGGCUGCCCCUGGACUAGCCCUGGCCCUCCCAGUCCCAGACAUACUUUUGAUUCCAUCCUAGAGGAAGUGUUUGCCAGUACCACUCGGAGAAAUUAGACACUCAGCCUCCAAACAUUCUGACCCUAACUGAGAAAGGACUGCAGACUGGGGCAGGGACCCAGCCUGUUUGCCUGUCAGGGCUGCUGUGGGCACAUUAAGCCUAAUUUCGAGCUUGACAUUUGCUGAGAGUGGGAAAUAUCUGUAAAAUACCCUUAAACACUCAUAAUCCUUUCUCCACAUUCUCCUAAAUUUCCUCUUCCUUCUAAGUUCCCUCCUGUUUGUGCUGCUGGCAGGUCCCUGUGCACCUGUACCACCAGCACCCUGGGAGUGCCUGGACUCCCUCCUGGGAUUCAUGAUAUGGGAGACUUCUCAUUCCCCUUUGUUGUCAAGGUGAUGUUUUGGAGUCAGAAAAGUACAUCUGAUGUUGGGCGGGAACUUCACGGAGUUGGUUUUAAUUCAAUGGAGGUGUUUAAAAUGUUCCGCGAGUGAAAUGUUCUUGAAUACUUGGCUUCAUUUAUUUCUCAUUGCUGCAUAUUUCUCACUGGUCUUUGUGAAUCAGAAGCAUGAAGGGCUCUUAGACAUGUGCUUAAUAAACCAUAUUUAUUCUUGGGAUAUUGGGUUUAAAGAUUAGUGUUACAUGGCCUUCUAUCCCAAAAUGCCGUUCCCUAGACUCAAAAGUAAUCUUUUGAAUCCAAGCUGUUGAUGCCUUUAUCAGCAAGGAAUACUUGUAGCUGCCUUGAGUCUUUGAUUCUCCAGGAUAAAAUGAGUAGGUCAAAAAGUAAUCAGCGAGCAUCGACAGACAACCUAAGAGAUUGGCAGCUGCUUUAAAAGACACGACUCUGAGAAGGAACUUUUAAUAUAAGUUGGGGACCGUUUCCUUUCCCUGGGAGUUCAUGCAUCAUGUGGAUAUUCUCAAAGGCCACUUCAGGUUUUAGGUUCUGUGGGCUGUGCACUCGACACAGAGAUCAACAAGGGGCUCCAGCUUCCAAGCCUGACUGAUGGGAGGCAGGUGCACAAUGAUGUGACUUGGGCUGGAGGGAGAGCAAGGACUGGGCUGUGGGAGUGCACAGGAGGGCGGGGUGAGGAGGGGCUUCCCCCAAGAAGCUAGGCCUCAGCCAGGUCUCCAGGGCACGAUAGGAGUCAAGGGUAGUGUCAGGCAGGAGGGAACUGGGACGGGCCUGGUACAGCAGGGUGGCAGUUCCUGAAGCUGGAGGGAAACAUGAGCCGCCUCCUUUUUCGGCUGUGCUCAGGAACUUGGGGUUUAUUCUGAAGGCAGAGCAGAAUCAUAGGAAGAUUUCACACAGGAGGGUGACAUUGUAUAAUUAGCAACUCAGGAAGGACAGUAUUGGAUUUUGAGACUAGGUUCCAAAACUUGUAAGGUUUUUGCAAAUAACGAGGUAGGUGAGAAGGAAUAAGGACUGUAGCCAUGUAGAGAAAUGAGGAAGAAAGUCAUCCAAAUGGUGUUUACAAGAUGAAAUGCUGACCAGAUCACUACUGGUUACAACCUGGAAGAUGACCGCUGUGAGUGUGUGGCUCUGCAGGAUUUUCGGGCUGGAGAGCAGAUUUACAUUUUUUAUGGCACUCGAUCAAAUGCAGAGUUUGUGAUCCACAGUGGUUUUUUCUUUGACAAUAACUCACAUGACAGAGUGAAAAUAAAGCUUGGAGUGAGUAAAAGUGACAGA